Molecule: non-coding RNA, 73 nt
Organism: Paramuricea clavata
Lineage: Eukaryota; Metazoa; Cnidaria; Anthozoa; Malacalcyonacea; Plexauridae
Source: the annotation of a GenBank genome assembly
GAUCGCGUAGCUCAGUUGGUAGAGCAUUGGGCUAGUAUUCCAAAGGUCGUAGGUUCGAUUCCCACCGUGGCCA